This 3467-nucleotide small RNA is filed under the name Pongo abelii (Sumatran orangutan). RNAcentral describes it as "retained intron". Lineage: Eukaryota; Metazoa; Chordata; Mammalia; Primates; Hominidae. The record is from RNAcentral.
GCCUGUGGUGCAGGAAGGCUGGACCUGCAGGCUCCUUCUAGACAGUGAAACUGGGCACUUGGGGUCCAGAGGCAGGGACUUCCUUGACAGAAUUGUGUCCUCUCCUCUCAGAGCCCCAUCAGCCACACCUGAUGCUGGAGGGCGGCAGCCUGAGCUCAGCAGAAUAUGAGGCCCGGGUAAGGGCCCGCCGAGAUUUCCAGAGGCUACAGCGAAGGGACAGUGAUGGGGACCGGCAGGUGUGGUUCCUGCAGCGACGCUUCCACAAGGACAUCCUGCUGAACCCCGUGCUGGUGCUGAGCUUCUGCCCGGACCUGAGCUCCAAGCCCGGACACCUGGGGACAGCUACUCGGGAGCUACUCUUCCUUUUGGAUGGCAGCAGCGCAGCACACAAGGAUGCCAUUGUUUUGGCUGUGAAGUCCCUCCCGCCCCAGACGCUUAUCAACCUGGCCGUGUUUGGGACGUUGGUGCAGCCACUCUUCCCAGAGAGCCGGCCUUGCAGUGAUGUGAGUGUGAUCCAGGGAUCUGGGGGCCUUACAGAGAGGUUUCAGCCCAGUGCGUCCCAGCCUGUGCCUUCUCUCUCCAGGAUGCUGUGCAGCUGAUCUGCGAGAGCAUUGAGACCCUGCAGGCUCCGAGUGGGCCCCCAGACGUGCUGGCUGCUCUGGACUGGGCCAUGGGGCAGCCCCAGCACAGGGCCUACCCUCGGCAGCUGUUCCUGCUCACUGCUGCCUCACCCAUGCCUGCCACUACCCACCAAACCCUGGAGCUCAUGAGGUGGCACAGGGGGACAGCCAGAUGCUUCUCCUUUGGGCUGGGGCCCACCUGCCACCAGCUGCUCCAGGGUUUAUCUGCCCUCAGCAGAGGUCAGGCCUACUUCCUGAGGCCUGGGCAGAGGCUGCAGCCCAUGCUGGUGCAGGCUCUGCGGAAGGCACUGGAACCUGCUUUGAGUGAUGUCUCUGUGGACUGGUUUGUGCCGGACACUGUGGAGGCACUGCUCACCCCCCGGGAGAUCCCAGCACUCUACCCUGGGGACCAGCUGCUCGGUUACUGCUCACUCUUCAGGGUGGAUGGCUUCCGGUCCCGCCCACCAGGGGGCCAAGAGCCUGGCUGGCAGAGCUUGGGUGGGUCCGUGUUUCCAUCCCCAGAAGAGGCCCCAUCUGUUGCCAGCCCUGGCACUGAGCCCACUGGCACCUCAGAGCCACUGGGAACAGGCACUGUAUCAGCAGAACUGUCCAGCCCAUGGGCUGCCAGGGACUCGGAGCGGAGUACUGAUGCUCUGACAGACCCAGUCACGGAUCCUGGACCCAACCCCUCUGACACAGCCAUAUGGCGCCGCAUCUUUCAGUCCUCGUACAUUCGGGAGCAGUAUGUGCUCACCCACUGCUCUGCCAGCCCCGAGCCAGGCCCAGGCUCCACAGGCAGCAGUGAGUCCCCAGGCUCACAGGGCCCUGGCUCCCUCGAAGGUAGUGCUCCCUUGGAGCCCCCUUCUCAGCAGGGCUGCCGCAGUCUGGCCUGGGGAGAACCUGCAGGCUCCCGCUCCUGUCCCCUGCCUGCACCCACACCAGCUCCAUUCAAGGUGGGGGCCUUGAGUACUGAGGUGCUGGGCCGUCAGCACAGAGCGGCUCUGGCUGGCCGAAGCCUCUCAUCCCCUCCAGGCCGGGCAAACCAAGUCCCCGGCCGACCCCGGAAACCCUCUUUGGGUGCAAUACUAGAUGGCCCAAGUCCUGAGCCAGGCCAACAAUUGGGACAAGGCCUGGAUGACUCAGGAAACCUGCUCUCCCCAGCCCCCAUGGACUGGGACAUGCUGAUGGAACCACCCUUCUUAUUCACGGCUGUGCCUCCUAGUGGGGAGGCCCCUCCAGCAGUGCCUCCCCAGGCUCCACGCUGCCAUGUGGUGAUCCGGGGCCUGUGUGGGGAGCAGCCUAUGUGCUGGGAGGUGGGUGUUGGGCUGGAGACACUGUGGGGACCUGGAGAUGGCUCACAGCCUCCCUCACCUCCUGUAAGAGAAGAUGCUUGGGACCAAGCACUCCAUCGGCUGACGGCAGCCUCUGUGGUCCGGGACAAUGAGCAGCUGGCCCUCAGAGGAGGGGCAGAGACCACAGCUGACCGGGGCCAUGCCCGGAGGUGCUGGCUUCGAGCCCUUCAGACAAGUAAGGUCAGCUCUGCCCCCUCCUGCUUCACUUGCCCUGUAGCUGUGGAUGCUACUACUAGGGAGGUCCUGCCUGGGGCCCUGCAGGUGCGCAGCUCAGAGCCCGCUGAGCCCCCAGGUACCCCUCCUGCCUCUCACAGCCAUCUAGAUGCAGCUCCUCUGCCCACUGUUGUCUACUCUAAAGGUAACACCCAAAGGUAGGGAAAGGGUAGGGGCACCUGGGCUUAGAGACCGCCCCCUGGCACUGAUGAUCCCCACUGCAGGACUUCAGAGAGGCUCUCCAGCAGGCGCCUGGGACUUGGACCAAAAUGGCAACUCCAAGUGUGCUUUGGGGGACCCUGCCACUCCCACGGAAGGUCCUCACCGCCCACCUCUCCGUCCUCCCUGUCGGCUCAACAUGGGCCGCCGUCACAAACUCUGUAGCCCUGACCCUGGCCAGGCCAACAACAGUGAAGGCAGCGACCAUGACUACCUGCCCUUGGUGCGGCUGCAGGAGGCACCAGGCUCCUUCCGCCUGGACGCGCCCUUCUGUGCCGCUGUGCGCAUCUCGCAGGAGCGCCUCUGCCGCGCCUCGCCCUUUGCCGUGCACCGCGCCAGCCUCAGCCCCACCUCGGCCUCAUUGCCCUGGGCACUUCUGGGCCCUGGUGUUGGCCAGGGUGACAGUGCCACGGCCUCCUGCAGCCCGUCCCCCAGCUCGGGCUCCGAGGGGCCAGGCCAGGUGGACAGUGGGCGGGGCUCAGACACCGAGGCCUCCGAGGGGGCGGAAGGGCUGGGCGGCACCGACCUGCGGGGCCGGACCUGGGCCACUGCCGUGGCACUCGCCUGGCUGGAGCACCGAUGCGCCGCUGCCUUCGGCGAGUGGGAACUGACAGCGGCCAAGGCUGAUUGCUGGCUGCGGGCCCAGCACUUGCCUGACGGCCUUGACCUGGCCGCCCUCAAGGCCGCAGCCCGGGGGCUCUUCCUGCUCCUGCGCCACUGGGACCAAAACCUGCAGCUACACCUGCUGUGCUACAGCCCAGCGAACGUGUGAAGGCCGCCCGCUGCUGCUUGGGCUGGCGCCCCGCCCAACACACUCAAGUCACUGCCGCCCAGGGCUGGCCUCUUGGUGCUGGGAAAGUGUAGGCUGGUGCCAGCCUGUCCCCCACUGCUUCUUACUCCCUCCCUAGAGCCCUCUUGCCCCCACAAAAAGUGCCUGCCUGUGCUCUCUCCCGCUCCUCCCACCCCACUCACACUCCCCUCCAUCCUCUGAGCUCCCUGCAGCCCAGUGGAAGGGUAGAGAGCCACAGUCCCCAAAUCCUAUGCAAUAAAGUGCCUCUUAGGA